RNAcentral lists this long non-coding RNA (346 nucleotides) under Hordeum vulgare. RNAcentral's name for it is "long non-coding RNA (HVUL_LNC016994)". Lineage: Eukaryota; Viridiplantae; Streptophyta; Magnoliopsida; Poales; Poaceae. The record is from RNAcentral.
GUGAGCAUGUCAAUGUUUGAGAAAUUUUUGAAUCACGAGGAAAUUCGAGGGACUGGCCAUUUUGCUAACAAAUGCAGUUCUGAACAAUGUCGUCAACAUUGGGACCUUCUGGUGUUUUUGAUGGUCCAGCCUAUCUGUCUUUGUGGACAACCACAGUUUUGGCGGCCACUGGGAGGUAUUGCAUAUUGUUCUGAUCAGGUAACAUAUACGUGUGCUGAGUAUGCAAAGAAGAGUUCUGAAACAAUACAUACAGAGCAAGUAAAUUACAGGGGCGUGCAUUUUUAUUCCUGUGGUAUGGUGUCGCAACUGGAAGUUGCUGAAUACUUUGAUUAUUGGGCUACUUCCU